This 378-nucleotide unclassified non-coding RNA is filed under the name uncultured Alphaproteobacteria bacterium. Its description in RNAcentral is "contains 16S-23S intergenic spacer region". The record is from RNAcentral. Lineage: Bacteria; Pseudomonadati; Pseudomonadota; Alphaproteobacteria.
UCCGUGUUAACCACGGCAGUCUCCUUAGAGAGCCCAACUUAAUGCUGGCAACUAAGGACAAGGGUUGCGCUCGUUGCGGGACUUAACCCAACAUGUCACCACACGAGCUGACGACAGCCAUGCAGCACCUGUCUCCGGUCCAGCCGAACUGAAGGAUUCCGUCUCUGGAAUCCGCGACCGAGACGUCAAGGGCUGGUAAGGUUCUUCGCGUUGCGUCGAAUUAAACCACAUGCUCCACCGCUUGUGCGGGCCCCCGUCAAUUCCUUUGAGUUUUAAUCUUGCGACCGUACUCCCCAGGCGGAAUGCUUAAAGCGUUAGCUGCGCCACUGACAGGCAAGCCUGCCAACGGCUAGCAUCCAUCGUUUACGGCGUGGACUA